ACUAAGCGUACACGGUGGAUGCCCUGGCAGUCAGAGGCGAUGAAGGACGUGCUAAUCUGCGAUAAGCGUCGGUAAGGUGAUAUGAACCGUUAUAACCGGCGAUUUCCGAAUGGGGAAACCCAGUGUGUUUCGUCACACUAUCAUUAACUGAAUCCAUAGGUUAAUGAGGCGAACCGGGGGAACUGAAACAUCUAAGUACCCCGAGGAAAAGAAAUCAACCGAGAUUCCCCCAGUAGCGGCGAGCGAACGGGGAGCAGCCCAGAGCCUGAAUCAGUUUGUGUGUUAGUGGAAGCGUCUGGAAAGGCGCGCGAUACAGGGUGACAGCCCCGUACACAAAAAUGCACAUGCUGUGAGCUCGAUGAGUAGGGCGGGACACGUGGUAUCCUGUCUGAAUAUGGGGGGACCAUCCUCCAAGGCUAAAUACUCCUGACUGACCGAUAGUGAACCAGUACCGUGAGGGAAAGGCGAAAAGAACCCCGGCGAGGGGAGUGAAAAAGAACCUGAAACCGUGUACGUACAAGCAGUGGGAGCACGCUUAGGCGUGUGACUGCGUACCUUUUGUAUAAUGGGUCAGCGACUUAUAUUCUGUAGCAAGGUUAACCGAAUAGGGGAGCCGAAGGGAAACCGAGUCUUAACUGGGCGUUAAGUUGCAGGGUAUAGACCCGAAACCCGGUGAUCUAGCCAUGGGCAGGUUGAAGGUUGGGUAACACUAACUGGAGGACCGAACCGACUAAUGUUGAAAAAUUAGCGGAUGACUUGUGGCUGGGGGUGAAAGGCCAAUCAAACCGGGAGAUAGCUGGUUCUCCCCGAAAGCUAUUUAGGUAGCGCCUCGUGAAUUCAUCUCCGGGGGUAGAGCACUGUUUCGGCAAGGGGGUCAUCCCGACUUACCAACCCGAUGCAAACUGCGAAUACCGGAGAAUGUUAUCACGGGAGACACACGGCGGGUGCUAACGUCCGUCGUGAAGAGGGAAACAACCCAGACCGCCAGCUAAGGUCCCAAAGUCAUGGUUAAGUGGGAAACGAUGUGGGAAGGCCCAGACAGCCAGGAUGUUGGCUUAGAAGCAGCCAUCAUUUAAAGAAAGCGUAAUAGCUCACUGGUCGAGUCGGCCUGCGCGGAAGAUGUAACGGGGCUAAACCAUGCACCGAAGCUGCGGCAGCGACGCUUAUGCGUUGUUGGGUAGGGGAGCGUUCUGUAAGCCUGUGAAGGUGUGCUGUGAGGCAUGCUGGAGGUAUCAGAAGUGCGAAUGCUGACAUAAGUAACGAUAAAGCGGGUGAAAAGCCCGCUCGCCGGAAGACCAAGGGUUCCUGUCCAACGUUAAUCGGGGCAGGGUGAGUCGACCCCUAAGGCGAGGCCGAAAGGCGUAGUCGAUGGGAAACAGGUUAAUAUUCCUGUACUUGGUGUUACUGCGAAGGGGGGACGGAGAAGGCUAUGUUGGCCGGGCGACGGUUGUCCCGGUUUAAGCGUGUAGGCUGGUUUUCCAGGCAAAUCCGGAAAACUAAGGCUGAGGCGUGAUGACGAGGCACUACGGUGCUGAAGCAACAAAUGCCCUGCUUCCAGGAAAAGCCUCUAAGCAUCAGGUAACAUCAAAUCGUACCCCAAACCGACACAGGUGGUCAGGUAGAGAAUACCAAGGCGCUUGAGAGAACUCGGGUGAAGGAACUAGGCAAAAUGGUGCCGUAACUUCGGGAGAAGGCACGCUGAUAUGUAGGUGAAGUCCCUCGCGGAUGGAGCUGAAAUCAGUCGAAGAUACCAGCUGGCUGCAACUGUUUAUUAAAAACACAGCACUGUGCAAACACGAAAGUGGACGUAUACGGUGUGACGCCUGCCCGGUGCCGGAAGGUUAAUUGAUGGGGUUAGCGCAAGCGAAGCUCUUGAUCGAAGCCCCGGUAAACGGCGGCCGUAACUAUAACGGUCCUAAGGUAGCGAAAUUCCUUGUCGGGUAAGUUCCGACCUGCACGAAUGGCGUAAUGAUGGCCAGGCUGUCUCCACCCGAGACUCAGUGAAAUUGAACUCGCUGUGAAGAUGCAGUGUACCCGCGGCAAGACGGAAAGACCCCGUGAACCUUUACUAUAGCUUGACACUGAACAUUGAGCCUUGAUGUGUAGGAUAGGUGGGAGGCUUUGAAGUGUGGACGCCAGUCUGCAUGGAGCCGACCUUGAAAUACCACCCUUUAAUGUUUGAUGUUCUAACGUUGACCCGUAAUCCGGGUUGCGGACAGUGUCUGGUGGGUAGUUUGACUGGGGCGGUCUCCUCCUAAAGAGUAACGGAGGAGCACGAAGGUUGGCUAAUCCUGGUCGGACAUCAGGAGGUUAGUGCAAUGGCAUAAGCCAGCUUGACUGCGAGCGUGACGGCGCGAGCAGGUGCGAAAGCAGGUCAUAGUGAUCCGGUGGUUCUGAAUGGAAGGGCCAUCGCUCAACGGAUAAAAGGUACUCCGGGGAUAACAGGCUGAUACCGCCCAAGAGUUCAUAUCGACGGCGGUGUUUGGCACCUCGAUGUCGGCUCAUCACAUCCUGGGGCUGAAGUAGGUCCCAAGGGUAUGGCUGUUCGCCAUUUAAAGUGGUACGCGAGCUGGGUUUAGAACGUCGUGAGACAGUUCGGUCCCUAUCUGCCGUGGGCGCUGGAGAACUGAGGGGGGCUGCUCCUAGUACGAGAGGACCGGAGUGGACGCAUCACUGGUGUUCGGGUUGUCAUGCCAAUGGCACUGCCCGGUAGCUAAAUGCGGAAGAGAUAAGUGCUGAAAGCAUCUAAGCACGAAACUUGCCCCGAGAUGAGUUCUCCCUGACUCCUUGAGAGUCCUGAAGGAACGUUGAAGACGACGACGUUGAUAGGCCGGGUGUGUAAGCGCAGCGAUGCGUUGAGCUAACCGGUACUAAUGAACCGUGAGGCUUAACC
This 2893-nucleotide ribosomal RNA is filed under the name Escherichia coli. Its description in RNAcentral is "bacterial LSU rRNA". It matches the Rfam family "Bacterial large subunit ribosomal RNA". The record is from RNAcentral. Lineage: Bacteria; Pseudomonadati; Pseudomonadota; Gammaproteobacteria; Enterobacterales; Enterobacteriaceae.